UUAAGCGACUAAGCGUACACGGUGGAUGCCCUGGCAGUCAGAGGCGAUGAAGGGCGUGCUAAUCUGCGAUAAGCGCCGGUAAGGUGAUAUGAACCGUUAUAACCGGCGAUACCCGAAUGGGGAAACCCAGUGUGACUCGUCACACUAUCAUUAACUGAAUCCAUAGGUUAAUGAGGCGAACCGGGGGAACUGAAACAUCUAAGUACCCCGAGGAAAAGAAAUCAACCGAGAUUCCCCCAGUAGCGGCGAGCGAACGGGGAGGAGCCCAGAGCCUGAAUCAGCAUGUGUGUUAGUGGAAGCGUCUGGAAAGGCGCGCGAUACAGGGUGACAGCCCCGUACACAAAAGCGCAUGUGUUGUGAGCUCGAUGAGUAGGGCGGGACACGUGGUAUCCUGUCUGAAUAUGGGGGGACCAUCCUCCAAGGCUAAAUACUCCUGACUGACCGAUAGUGAACCAGUACCGUGAGGGAAAGGCGAAAAGAACCCCGGCGAGGGGAGUGAAAAAGAACCUGAAACCGUGUACGUACAAGCAGUGGGAGCACAGGUUUACCUGUGUGACUGCGUACCUUUUGUAUAAUGGGUCAGCGACUUAUAUUCUGUAGCAAGGUUAACCGUAUAGGGGAGCCGGAGGGAAACCGAGUCUUAAUUGGGCGUUAAGUUGCAGGGUAUAGACCCGAAACCCGGUGAUCUAGCCAUGGGCAGGUUGAAGGUUGGGUAACACUAACUGGAGGACCGAACCGACUAAUGUUGAAAAAUUAGCGGAUGACCUGUGGCUGGGGGUGAAAGGCCAAUCAAACCGGGAGAUAGCUGGUUCUCCCCGAAAGCUAUUUAGGUAGCGCCUCGUGAAUUCAUCUCCGGGGGUAGAGCACUGUUUCGGCUAGGGGGCCAUCCCGGCUUACCAACCCGAUGCAAACUGCGAAUACCGGAGAAUGUUAUCACGGGAGACACACGGCGGGUGCUAACGUCCGUCGUGAAGAGGGAAACAACCCAGACCGCCAGCUAAGGUCCCAAAGUCAUGGUUAAGUGGGAAACGAUGUGGGAAGGCCCAGACAGCCAGGAUGUUGGCUUAGAAGCAGCCAUCAUUUAAAGAAAGCGUAAUAGCUCACUGGUCGAGUCGGCCUGCGCGGAAGAUGUAACGGGGCUAAACCAUGCACCGAAGCUGCGGCAGCGACGCUUAUGCGUUGUUGGGUAGGGGAGCGUUCUGUAAGCCUGUGAAGGUGUGUCGUGAGGCAUGCUGGAGGUAUCAGAAGUGCGAAUGCUGACAUAAGUAACGAUAAAGCGGGUGAAAAGCCCGCUCGCCGGAAGACCAAGGGUUCCUGUCCAACGUUAAUCGGGGCAGGGUGAGUCGACCCCUAAGGCGAGGCCGAAAGGCGUAGUCGAUGGGAAACGGGUUAAUAUUCCCGUACUUGGUGUUACUGCGAAGGGGGGACGGAGAAGGCUAUGUUGGCCGGGCGACGGUUGUCCCGGUUUAAGCGUGUAGGUGUGUGUUCCAGGUAAAUCCGGUUCACUUUAACACUGAGGCGUGACGACGAGGCACUACGGUGCUGAAGCAACAAAUGCCCUGCUUCCAGGAAAAGCCUCUAAGCAUCAGGUAACAUCAAAUCGUACCCCAAACCGACACAGGUGGUCAGGUAGAGAAUACCAAGGCGCUUGAGAGAACUCGGGUGAAGGAACUAGGCAAAAUGGUGCCGUAACUUCGGGAGAAGGCACGCUGACACGUAGGUGAAGUGAUUUACUCAUGGAGCUGAAGUCAGUCGAAGAUACCAGCUGGCUGCAACUGUUUAUUAAAAACACAGCACUGUGCAAACACGAAAGUGGACGUAUACGGUGUGACGCCUGCCCGGUGCCGGAAGGUUAAUUGAUGGGGUCAGCGCAAGCGAAGCUCCUGAUCGAAGCCCCGGUAAACGGCGGCCGUAACUAUAACGGUCCUAAGGUAGCGAAAUUCCUUGUCGGGUAAGUUCCGACCUGCACGAAUGGCGUAAUGAUGGCCAGGCUGUCUCCACCCGAGACUCAGUGAAAUUGAACUCGCUGUGAAGAUGCAGUGUACCCGCGGCAAGACGGAAAGACCCCGUGAACCUUUACUAUAGCUUGACACUGAACAUUGAGCCUUGAUGUGUAGGAUAGGUGGGAGGCUUUGAAGUGUGGACGCCAGUCUGCAUGGAGCCGACCUUGAAAUACCACCCUUUAAUGUUUGAUGUUCUAACGUGGACCCGUAAUCCGGGUUGCGGACAGUGUCUGGUGGGUAGUUUGACUGGGGCGGUCUCCUCCUAAAGAGUAACGGAGGAGCACGAAGGUUGGCUAAUCCUGGUCGGACAUCAGGAGGUUAGUGCAAUGGCAUAAGCCAGCUUGACUGCGAGCGUGACGGCGCGAGCAGGUGCGAAAGCAGGUCAUAGUGAUCCGGUGGUUCUGAAUGGAAGGGCCAUCGCUCAACGGAUAAAAGGUACUCCGGGGAUAACAGGCUGAUACCGCCCAAGAGUUCAUAUCGACGGCGGUGUUUGGCACCUCGAUGUCGGCUCAUCACAUCCUGGGGCUGAAGUAGGUCCCAAGGGUAUGGCUGUUCGCCAUUUAAAGUGGUACGCGAGCUGGGUUUAGAACGUCGUGAGACAGUUCGGUCCCUAUCUGCCGUGGGCGCUGGAGAACUGAGGGGGGCUGCUCCUAGUACGAGAGGACCGGAGUGGACGCAUCACUGGUGUUCGGGUUGUCAUGCCAAUGGCACUGCCCGGUAGCUAAAUGCGGAAGAGAUAAGUGCUGAAAGCAUCUAAGCACGAAACUUGCCCCGAGAUGAGUUCUCCCUGAGACUUAGAGUCUCCUGAAGGAACGUUGAAGACGACGACGUUGAUAGGCCGGGUGUGUAAGCGCAGCGAUGCGUUGAGCUAACCGGUACUAAUGAACCGUGAGGCUUAACCUU
This 2906-nucleotide ribosomal RNA is filed under the name Salmonella enterica subsp. enterica serovar Paratyphi B var. L(+) tartrate +. Its description in RNAcentral is "bacterial LSU rRNA". It matches the Rfam family "Bacterial large subunit ribosomal RNA". The record is from RNAcentral. Lineage: Bacteria; Pseudomonadati; Pseudomonadota; Gammaproteobacteria; Enterobacterales; Enterobacteriaceae.